Long non-coding RNA from Oncorhynchus tshawytscha (Chinook salmon), 733 nucleotides. NCBI's taxonomy places the organism in Eukaryota, Metazoa, Chordata, Actinopteri, Salmoniformes, Salmonidae. The record is from Ensembl.
AAAACAACACAAAUACAUAUAUAUAAUACACAAAUAUAAUUAAAUCAAGCUGAAUUUGGUCUCGGGAACUUGAAAAGAAAGUAGUAAUUUCUUGAAUUAAUAAAUUAGUGUUGACAGUUUAUAUUUGGUGGGAUAAUGCAGUUUGCCAUGAGUGAAUACAAAACCAUUUAAGGGUCUGGGAACAAAUGAGGAAGUAGCAGAACAGCGAUAACACACUAUACAGUAAUAAUGUAAAUGCCAUGUAGAGCACAUUUGGAAGUGUUAAAUUCUUGGUAUAAAGGGUUAUGAAUGCAAUAUCUGAGUGUUGAUUCCAUGGGGGUUAACACCAGUGGUAUAUCUGAGUGUUGAUUCUAGUGGGGUUAACACCAGUGGUAUAUCUGAGUGUUGAUUCUAGUGGGGUUAACACCAGUGGUAUAUCUGAGUGUUGAUUAAGAUGGCUUUAUAUAUAGUUAUAAAUCCGCGAAAGGCUUUGCUAUACUAUUUUACCAUAUAUACCACCAUCCAAAGUGGAGAGCUCCAUGAUUGAAGCUCUGUAGGUUACAGUGGAGUAGACCCUAGUGGGAGGGGGAAUAGGUUAUAGUGGAGUAGACCCUAGUGGGAGGGGGAAUAGGUUAUAGUGGAGUAGACCCUAGUGGAAGGGGGAAUAGGUUAUAGUGGAGUAGACCCUAGUGGGAGGGGGAAUAGGUUAUAGUGGAGUAGACCCUAGUGGGAGGGGGAAUAGGUUAUAGUGGAG